This 447-nucleotide ribosomal RNA is filed under the name uncultured bacterium. RNAcentral describes it as "SSU rRNA". It matches the Rfam family "Bacterial small subunit ribosomal RNA", at positions 26 to 518 of the family's 1533-position model. The record is from RNAcentral.
AGAGCGAACGCUGGCGGCAGGCUUAACACAUGCAAGUCGAGCGGGCGUAGCAAUACGUCAGCGGCAGACGGGUGAGUAACGCGUGGGAACGUACCUUUUGGUUCGGAACAACCCAGGGAAACUUGGGCUAAUACCGGAUAAGCCCUUACGGGGAAAGAUUUAUCGCCGAAAGAUCGGCCCGCGUCUGAUUAGCUAGUUGGUGGGGUAAUGGCCCACCAAGGCGACGAUCAGUAGCUGGUCUGAGAGGAUGAUCAGCCACAUUGGGACUGAGACACGGCCCAAACUCCUACGGGAGGCAGCAGUGGGGAAUAUUGGACAAUGGCGCAAGCCUGAUCCAGCCAUGCCGCGUGGAUGAUGAAGGCCCUAGGGUUGUAAAGUCCUUUCGGCGGGGAAGAUAAUGACGGUACCCGCAGAAGAAGCCCCGGCUAACUUCGCGCCAGCAGCCGC